GUGAGAUAUACAAUGAUCUCUAUCAUAGUAUCAUUGAAACUUUUUUUAAUGGAUCAGAAUAAUUCUACUCUAACUCAUCAAAGAUUGUUGAUCUUGAGCAAUUUUAGUGAGCUCUUACAAUCCAUCAGUGACACCUAGCAGUAUGUAGUGGCAACUCAAUAGAAUCGCAAAAAAUCUCAAGGUGUAAUUAAUAUAUGAUUCAGUCUCUCUAUCAUGAGUUUCGACUAGAUGGAAGGUCAUGGAUAAAUCAUCAAACUUCAUCAUCAGUCAUAUGAUAGAUUUGAUUAGCUCAAUUCAAUUGUGAUCCUCAUAAAUUUUUUUUUUGUCAAUCACACUGCUGUGGUCACAGACUCUCGGACUUAGCUUCUCAAAUUUUAUAAGACUACUCCUCUCUAUCAAGAUCGAUAGAUUCCAUCUAGAUACAUAUCUUACUCCUAUGGUGGAUCAACUAUCGUCAAUAUCUACUACAAGAGCUCAUUGGGACUAUAUUUAUGUGUCAGUCAAACUCUAGCAGCUUUACUACGAACAGUCAUACCAUCAUAGGUCAAAGGAUAAUUUACACAACUACAGCAUGAAGUCAAUCACUGAUGAUUGAUUAAAAAUCUAAGUGAUCUCUCGUAUGGUCACGUUCUGUAUUAGUUAUUUUCUAACAACUAUCCACAC
RNAcentral lists this long non-coding RNA (663 nucleotides) under Elaeis guineensis (African oil palm). Its description in RNAcentral is "long non-coding RNA (EGUI_LNC033262)". The record is from RNAcentral. Lineage: Eukaryota; Viridiplantae; Streptophyta; Magnoliopsida; Arecales; Arecaceae.